GAUGAACGCUGGCGGCGUGCCUAAUACAUGCAAGUCGAGCGAACGGACGAUAAGCUUGCUUCUCUGAUGUUAGCGGCGGACGGGUGAGUAACACGUGGAUAACCUACCUAUAAGACUGGGAUCACUUCGGGAAACCGGAGCUAAUCCCGGAUAAUAUUUUGAACCGCAUGGUUCAAAAGUGAAAGACGGUCUUGCUGUCACUUAUAGAUGGAUCCGCGCUGCAUUAGCUAGUUGGUAAGGUAACGGCUUACCAAGGCAACGAUGCAUAGCCGACCUGAGAGGGGGAUCGGCCACACUGGAACUGAGACACGGUCCAGACGCCUACGGGAGGCAGCAGUAGGGAAUCUGACGCAAUGGGCGAAAGCCUGACGGAGCAACGCCGCGUGAGUGAUGAAGGUCUUCGGAUCGGAAAACUCUGUUAUUAGGGAAGAACAUAUGUGUAAGUAACUGUGCACAUCUUGACGGUAACUAAUCAGAAAGCCACGGCUAACUACGUG
Molecule: ribosomal RNA, 497 nt
Filed under: uncultured bacterium
Lineage: Bacteria
Description: partial 16S ribosomal RNA
Rfam family: Bacterial small subunit ribosomal RNA
Source: RNAcentral